UCCCAGACUCCUACGGGAGGCAGCAGUGAGGAAUAUUGGUCAAUGGACGAGAGUCUGAACCAGCCAAGUAGCGUGAAGGAUGACUGCCCUAUGGGUUGUAAACUUCUUUUAUAUGGGAAUAAAACAGGGUAUGCAUACCCUCUUGUAUGUACCAUACGAAUAAGGAUCGGCUAACUCCGUGCCAGCAGCCGCGGUAAUACGGAGGAUCCGAGCGUUAUCCGGAUUCAUUGGGUUUAAAGGGUGCGUAGGUUGUUUUAUAAGUUAGCGGUGAAAUACCGAUGCUCAACAUCGGGGCUGCCGCUAAUACUGUAGGACUAGAGAUCGGAUGCAGCAGGCGGAAUGUGUAGUGUAGCGGUGAAAUGCAUAGAUAUUACACAGAACACCGAUUGCGAAGGCAGCUUGCUAGGCCGGAUCUGACACUGAUGCACGAAAGCGUGGGGAUCGAACAGGAUUAGAUACCCCAGUAG
This 467-nucleotide ribosomal RNA is filed under the name uncultured bacterium. RNAcentral's name for it is "bacterial SSU rRNA". It matches the Rfam family "Bacterial small subunit ribosomal RNA", at positions 329 to 793 of the family's 1533-position model. The record is from RNAcentral.